AGUGAACGCUGGCGGUAGGCCUAACACAUGCCAGUCGAACGGCAGCACAGUAAGAGCUUGCUCUUACGGGUGGCGAGUGGCGGACGGGUGAGGAAUACAUCGGAAUCUACUUUUUCGUGGGGGAUAACGUAGGGAAACUUACGCUAAUACCGCAUACGACCUACGGGUGAAAGCAGGGGAUCUUCGGACUUUGCGCGAUUGAAUGAGCCGAUGUCGGAUUAGCUAGUUGGCGGGGUAAAGGCCCACCAAGGCGACGAUCCGUAGCUGGUCUGAGAGGAUGAUCAGCCACACUGGAACUGAGACACGGUCCAGACUCCUACGGGAGGCAGCAGUGGGGAAUAUUGGACAAUGGGCGCAAGCCUGAUCCAGCCAUACCGCGUGGGUGAAGAAGGCCUUCGGGUUGUAAAGCCCUUUUGUUGGGAAAGAAAAGCAGCAGGUUAAUACCCCGCUGUUCUGACGGUACCCAAAGAAUAAGCACCGGCUAACUUCGUG
Molecule: ribosomal RNA, 492 nt
Filed under: uncultured bacterium
Lineage: Bacteria
Description: partial 16S ribosomal RNA
Rfam family: Bacterial small subunit ribosomal RNA
Source: RNAcentral